CCUACGGGUGGCAGCAGUGAGGAAUAUUGGUCAAUGGGCUUACGCCUGAACCAGCCAAGUCGCGUGAGGGAAGACUGCCCUAUGGGUUGUAAACCUCUUUUGUCAGGGAGCAACGCCGGCUACGUGUAGCCGGACUGAGAGUACCUGAAGAAAAAGCCUCGGCUAACUCCGUGCCAGCAGCCGCGGUAAUACGGAGGAUGCGAGCGUUAUCCGGAUUUAUUGGGUUUAAAGGGUGCGUAGGCGGAAUGUCAAGUCAGCGGUAAAAUCGCGGGGCUCAACCUCGCUCCGCCGUUGAAACUGGCGGUCUUGAGUGGGCGAGAAGUAUGCGGAAUGCGUGGUGUAGCGGUGAAAUGCAUAGAUAUCACGCAGAACUCCGAUUGCGAAGGCAGCAUACCGGCGCCCAACUGACGCUGAAGCACGAAAGCGUGGGUAUCGAACAGGAUUAGAUACCCCUGUAGUC
RNAcentral lists this ribosomal RNA (460 nucleotides) under uncultured bacterium. RNAcentral describes it as "partial 16S ribosomal RNA". It matches the Rfam family "Bacterial small subunit ribosomal RNA", at positions 338 to 795 of the family's 1533-position model. The record is from RNAcentral.